GACGAACGCUGGCGGCGUGCCUAAUACAUGCAAGUAGAACGCUGAAACUUGGUGCUUGCACCGAGCGGAUGAGUUGCGAACGGGUGAGUAACGCGUAGGUAACCUGCCUGGUAGCGGGGGAUAACUAUUGGAAACGAUAGCUAAUACCGCAUAAGAGUAUAUGUUGCAUGACAUUUGCUUAAAAGGUGCAAUUGCACCACUACCAGAUGGACCUGCGUUGUAUUAGCUAGUUGGUGGGGUAACGGCUCACCAAGGCGACGAUACAUAGCCGACCUGAGAGGGUGAGCGGCCACACUGGGACUGAGACACGGCCCAGAGGCCUACGGGAGGCAGCAGUAGGGAAUCUUCGGCAAGGGACGGAAGUCUGACCGAGAAACGCCGCGGGAGUGAAGAAGGUUUUCGGAUCGUAAAGCUCGGUUGUAAGAGAAGAACGAGUGUGAGAGUGGAAAGUUCACACUGUGACGGUAGCUGACCAGAAAGGGACGGCUAACUACGUG
This 497-nucleotide ribosomal RNA is filed under the name uncultured bacterium. RNAcentral describes it as "partial 16S ribosomal RNA". It matches the Rfam family "Bacterial small subunit ribosomal RNA", at positions 28 to 507 of the family's 1533-position model. The record is from RNAcentral.